This is a long non-coding RNA of Mesocricetus auratus (golden hamster), 606 nucleotides long. RefSeq lists it as uncharacterized. The transcript is spliced from 5 exons. Lineage: Eukaryota; Metazoa; Chordata; Mammalia; Rodentia; Cricetidae. The record is from RefSeq and is a predicted model, not a curated record.
UUUAGAAGACUUUGUCUCAAGAAAAAGAAGUGGGAAAGGAUGGUUGAAGAGGCAGAGUGAGGGACACCGGCGCUCUGGCCUGGUUUUGUCACCUGAGGAGCUAAGAGAAAGACGCUAAGCUGGAAGGGAGAAGAGCCGCGGGCCGGAAGUGCUGGGCGAGCCGAUUGCUAGGACCGAGCAGAUACGCACAGUCGAGGUCCUGAGCUGCUGGAGUCUUCAGAGGGAAUCAGUACCAUCUGCUAGAAAAAGAGAAAGGGUUAGAAUGUAUGUAAAAAUCAAGACCGUUUGAUCCGCAACCCGCAUGAGCGCUGCAGCUGGGAGCAACUUGUAAAACUCGAUGGAUGGCCGGCUCACACUGCUGAAGACAGACACUGGAGAGAGAGCCGCAACGUGGAGGAGUUUAAGAAGAUGCCACUGAGGCCAUGGCCACCCUUCCUAUGAAAAUAUGAGAGGCCUGGAAUCCAGUGACCCCACCUGCUACAAGUCAUAUCUCCACCAACUAAAGGACCAUCUGUAAACCCAGGGCUGUGUGUCUUCAAACAAAGCUCUUACUAACCUGCUGGUCUGCUGUCCAUUGAGUCAAUGAAGCAAUUAGGAGAGCCUCUA